AGAAAAUACUACUGGUAUUACGCAUUGCCUUUUCAUACCGCCCAGUGCCGAUUUGUUCAUUUCGUUAUAAUUCGCAUACCGCCCAUUGGGUGUGAUCAACUCCGCACAUAUGCAUUGCAAUUGAAGCCAAAGGACAGGUUUAAUUGGACCCAGGGUUAACAGAACUGAAUUCCCAUCGAGCAUGGCAUCGAUUAUGGAUAUCCAGUGGUCGGACAGAAGUUACAGUACCAAAGAAGUCAUCGAGCAUUUCCGACUGCCGAAAAUAUUCAAAGUAACGAAAGGACUAUACGGCACAGAAGACACUGAGACAUUGGGCAAUUUACAGGUCGUCCGUCUUCAUCGACAGCACAGACAGCGACGCGUGAUAGCAACCGACGAUAGAGGGCGGCAUUUCAGUAUCCCCGUCGAUUACGACAUUCCAUUUGAAAUAUUACCUGUUAGUUUACCGA
Molecule: long non-coding RNA, 449 nt
Organism: Saccoglossus kowalevskii
Lineage: Eukaryota; Metazoa; Hemichordata; Enteropneusta; Harrimaniidae
Source: RefSeq, a predicted model, not a curated record